UGAGCAAUCUGCCCUUCUCAUCGGAAUAAGCGUUGGAAACGACGUCUAAUGCCGAAUACGACCUCCUUUCGCAUGAUCGGAGGUGGAAAGCUCCGGCGGAGAAGGAUGAGCUCGCGGCCUAUCAGCUAGUUGGUGUGGGUAAUGGCCCACCAAGGCGACGACGGGUAGCCGGCCUGGAGAGGGUGACCGGCCACACGUGGGACUGAGACACGGCCCAGACCUCCGUACGGGAGCAG
This 236-nucleotide ribosomal RNA is filed under the name uncultured bacterium. Its description in RNAcentral is "partial 16S ribosomal RNA". It matches the Rfam family "Bacterial small subunit ribosomal RNA", at positions 118 to 347 of the family's 1533-position model. The record is from RNAcentral.